This 398-nucleotide ribosomal RNA is filed under the name uncultured bacterium. Its description in RNAcentral is "partial 16S ribosomal RNA". It matches the Rfam family "Bacterial small subunit ribosomal RNA", at positions 523 to 918 of the family's 1533-position model. The record is from RNAcentral.
AUACGUAGGGUGCGAGCGUUGUCCGGAAUUACUGGGCGUAAAGAGCUCGUAGGUGGUUUGUCGCGUUGUCUGUGAAAUUCCGGGGCUUAACUCCGGGCGUGCAGGCGAUACGGGCAUAACUUGAGUACUGUAGGGGAGACUGGAAUUCCUGGUGUAGCGGUGAAAUGCGCAGAUAUCAGGAGGAACACCGGUGGCGAAGGCGGGUCUCUGGGCAGUAACUGACGCUGAGGAGCGAAAGCAUGGGUAGCGAACAGGAUUAGAUACCCUGGUAGUCCAUGCCGUAAACGGUGGGCGCUAGGUGUAGGGGUCUUCCACGACUUCUGUGCCGUAGCUAACGCAUUAAGCGCCCCGCCUGGGGAGUACGGCCGCAAGGCUAAAACUCAAAGGAAUUGACGGGG